RNAcentral lists this long non-coding RNA (239 nucleotides) under Coturnix japonica (Japanese quail). RNAcentral describes it as "lncRNA (ENSCJPG00005001256.1)". Lineage: Eukaryota; Metazoa; Chordata; Aves; Galliformes; Phasianidae. The record is from RNAcentral.
CCGUUUCACCAAAGUCUCUGCUUCCUCAUCAAGAACGACGUCCUGACAGCGGCAAACUGAAGGAAUUCCAAGGAAACAGAGUGAUCAUCCUCAGACUCACUAUAAGAUAUGGUCAGAGUGCUGACUUCAGGCAGUCCUCCCAGUGGGCCAACCCAGGAGUGCAAUCAACGAUGAUUUCUGAGCAGCUUUUUGCAAAAACAAAUUCUGUCAGAAUAACUUUCAGGAGUGUCCAGCCUUAA